This 225-nucleotide ribosomal RNA is filed under the name uncultured bacterium. RNAcentral describes it as "partial 16S ribosomal RNA". It matches the Rfam family "Bacterial small subunit ribosomal RNA", at positions 524 to 744 of the family's 1533-position model. The record is from RNAcentral.
UACGAAGGUGGCAAGCGUUUACUCGGAUUUACUAGGCGAAAGGGCAGGUAGGUGGUUUGAUAAGUCUGCUGUGUAAGCUCCCGGCUUAACUGGGAGAGGUCAGCGGAUACUGUCAGGCUUGAGUAUGGGAGAGGGUACUGGAAUUCUGGUGUAGCGGUGAAAUGCGCAGAUAUCAGGAGGAACACCGAGUGGGCGAAGGCAGGUCUCCGUGGGCAAUUAACUGAC